This 98-nucleotide small nuclear RNA is filed under the name Suricata suricatta (meerkat). The record is from RNAcentral. Lineage: Eukaryota; Metazoa; Chordata; Mammalia; Carnivora; Herpestidae.
UCGCUUCGGCAGCACAUAUACUAAAAUUGGAACGAUACAGAGAAGAUUAGCGUGGCCCCUGCGCAUGGUCAUUUUUUAAUGAAUUAAAAUGUGUGCUU